Long non-coding RNA from Erigeron canadensis, 800 nucleotides. RefSeq lists it as uncharacterized. NCBI's taxonomy places the organism in Eukaryota, Viridiplantae, Streptophyta, Magnoliopsida, Asterales, Asteraceae. The record is from RefSeq and is a predicted model, not a curated record. The transcript is spliced from 2 exons.
AAGUACCCGUGAGUUUUUGUUAUGAAUCACACGGAAUGUUUUCACCCAACUAGAAGUUGCCAUAUAUUUUUUGCCUAUACGUUUACACGUUCUUCCCCCAACACCCCAUUUCUCGACCUUUAAUCCCUUUUCAGACUUCAAUCCCAGAAGGCCAGAAUAAUAAACCCUAAAUUAAACAAAUCAAAAAUAAAAUCACAAAUCAAACCACUUUUGCAUUAAUUACUUUCUGAUUCCAGUAUCAAUCCCUACACUUUUGUGUUGAUUACGGUGUAUAUCACAUAAUCCUGUUGUGUGAUGUACAAUUGACUAGCGAUGAUGCUGGGAUCUGCCUUCCAAAUCUUACCACAAUAGCUGUGGCCUUUGAUAAGGAGAACAAAAUCUACUCUGUGAAUGGGGUACCUAUGAACGAUGAUUUCCUGUGGAUUCCUCGCUUAAAGACCUGGACAAAGUCUUCUAUAAGUUGGGCUAACUUUACUUAAUCUUCUGCAAUAUCUACUGAAUGAAUUGGCAAAGGGAAAGGACUGGAACAAGUAGCUGCUAUUUUGCGCAAGUUAUUAGAAAAGUUGCCGUUGGCGGUGAAUAUGGACAUAAACGGUCUCAAUGUCAGUCGCCUUUCCCAUCUGAGUUGAAGCCAAGACGACAUAAGCCCCCCUCAAUCAACUUCACAAUCUUCUACCAAUGAUAUAGUUGAUUUGGAUGAUAUGUAAAGAUUGCCAACUGUUGUUUGGACGAGGCAUUAUGUUUUAAUGAUGAUUGUAUUUUGACAGAACUGCUUGUGUUAAUAUAGUACGUCUUAUUAA